Molecule: ribosomal RNA, 2826 nt
Filed under: Halomonas sp. B-1083
Lineage: Bacteria; Pseudomonadati; Pseudomonadota; Gammaproteobacteria; Oceanospirillales; Halomonadaceae
Description: bacterial SSU rRNA
Rfam family: Bacterial small subunit ribosomal RNA (bases 1370-2826)
Source: RNAcentral
AAGUCGUACCAGGGUAACCGUGCUUGCUCUGUGGGAUCAGUGGCGAACGGGUGAGUAACACGUGAGCAACCUGCCCCUGACUCUGGGAUAAGCGCUGGAAACGGCGUCUAAUACUGGAUAUGUGACGUGACCGCAUGGUCUGCGUUUGGAAAGAUUUUUCGGUUGGGGAUGGGCUCGCGGCCUAUCAGCUUGUUGGUGAGGUAAUGGCUCACCAAGGCGUCGACGGGUAGCCGGCCUGAGAGGGUGACCGGCCACACUGGGACUGAGACACGGCCCAGACUCCUACGGGAGGCAGCAGUGGGGAAUAUUGCACAAUGGGCGCAAGCCUGAUGCAGCAACGCCGCGUGAGGGAUGACGGCCUUCGGGUUGUAAACCUCUUUUAGCAGGGAAGAAGCGAAAGUGACGGUACCUGCAGAAAAAGCGCCGGCUAACUACGUGCCAGCAGCCGCGGUAAUACGUAGGGCGCAAGCGUUAUCCGGAAUUAUUGGGCGUAAAGAGCUCGUAGGCGGUUUGUCGCGUCUGCUGUGAAAUCCCGAGGCUCAACCUCGGGCCUGCAGUGGGUACGGGCAGACUAUAGUGCGGUAGGGGAGAUUGGAAUUCCUGGUGUAGCGGUGGAAUGCGCAGAUAUCAGGAGGAACACCGAUGGCGAAGGCAGAUCUCUGGGCCGUAACUGACGCUGAGGAGCGAAAGGGUGGGGAGCAAACAGGCUUAGAUACCCUGGUAGUCCACCCCGUAAACGUUGGGAACUAGUUGUGGGGUGCAUUCCGCGGAUUCCGUGACGCAGCUAACGCAUUAAGUUCCCCGCCUGGGGAGUACGGCCGCAAGGCUAAAACUCAAAGGAAUUGACGGGGACCCGCACAAGCGGCGGAGCAUGCGGAUUAAUUCGAUGCAACGCGAAGAACCUUACCAAGGCUUGACAUAUACGAGAACGGGCCAGAAAUGGUCAACUCUUUGGACACUCGUAAACAGGUGGUGCAUGGUUGUCGUCAGCUCGUGUCGUGAGAUGUUGGGUUAAGUCCCGCAACGAGCGCAACCCUCGUUCUAUGUUGCCAGCACGUAAUGGUGGGAACUCAUGGGAUACUGCCGGGGUCAACUCGGAGGAAGGUGGGGAUGACGUCAAAUCAUCAUGCCCCUUAUGUCUUGGGCUUCACGCAUGCUACAAUGGCCGGUACAAAGGGCUGCAAUACCGUGAGGUGGAGCGAAUCCCAAAAAGCCGGUCCCAGUUCGGAUUGAGGUCUGCAACUCGACCUCAUGAAGUCGGAGUCGCUAGUAAUCGCAGAUCAGCAACGCUGCGGUGAAUACGUUCCCGGGUCUUGUACACACCGCCCGGCAAGUCAUGAAAGUCGGUAACACCUGAAGCCGGGAGAGUAYUNCUNYUKSVYSVSKAYAGUVYGKVAUSSKAYAGUVYGKCYCAAGUCGAGCGGCAGCACGGGGAGCUUGCUCCCUGGUGGCGAGCGGCGGACGGGUGAGUAAUGCAUAGGAAUCUGCCCGGUAGUGGGGGAUAACGUGGGGAAACCCACGCUAAUACCGCAUACGUCCUACGGGAGAAAGCGGAGGAUCUUCGGACUUCGCGCUAUCGGAUGAGCCUAUGUCGGAUUAGCUAGUUGGUAAGGUAACGGCUUACCAAGGCGACGAUCCGUAGCUGGUCUGAGAGGAUGAUCAGCCACACUGGGACUGAGACACGGCCCAGACUCCUACGGGAGGCAGCAGUGGGGAAUAUUGGACAAUGGGCGAAAGCCUGAUCCAGCCAUGCCGCGUGUGUGAAGAAGGCUUUCGGGUUGUAAAGCACUUUCAGCGAGGAAGAAGGCCUGGUGGUUAAUACCCAUCAGGAAGGACAUCACUCGCAGAAGAAGCACCGGCUAACUCCGUGCCAGCAGCCGCGGUAAUACGGAGGGUGCGAGCGUUAAUCGGAAUUACUGGGCGUAAAGCGCGCGUAGGUGGCUUGGCACGCCGGUUGUGAAAGCCCCGGGCUCAACCUGGGAACGGCAUCCGGAACGGCCAGGCUAGAGUGCAGGAGAGGAAGGUAGAAUUCCCGGUGUAGCGGUGAAAUGCGUAGAGAUCGGGAGGAAUACCAGUGGCGAAGGCGGCCUUCUGGCCUGACACUGACACUGAGGUGCGAAAGCGUGGGUAGCAAACAGGAUUAGAUACCCUGGUAGUCCACGCCGUAAACGAUGUCGACUAGCCGUUGGGACCUUUAAGGACUUAGUGGCGCAGUUAACGCGAUAAGUCGACCGCCUGGGGAGUACGGCCGCAAGGUUAAAACUCAAAUGAAUUGACGGGGGCCCGCACAAGCGGUGGAGCAUGUGGUUUAAUUCGAUGCAACGCGAAGAACCUUACCUACCCUUGACAUCCUGCGAAUUUGGUAGAGAUACCUUAGUGCCUUCGGGAGCGCAGUGACAGGUGCUGCAUGGCUGUCGUCAGCUCGUGUUGUGAAAUGUUGGGUUAAGUCCCGUAACGAGCGCAACCCUUGUCCUUAUUUGCCAGCACGUAAUGGUGGGAACUCUAAGGAGACUGCCGGUGACAAACCGGAGGAAGGUGGGGACGACGUCAAGUCAUCAUGGCCCUUACGGGUAGGGCUACACACGUGCUACAAUGGCCGGUACAAAGGGUUGCGAGACCGCGAGGUGGAGCGAAUCCCAGAAAGCCGGCCUCAGUCCGGAUCGGAGUCUGCAACUCGACUCCGUGAAGUCGGAAUCGCUAGUAAUCGUGAAUCAGAAUGUCACGGUGAAUACGUUCCCGGGCCUUGUACACACCGCCCGUCACACCAUGGGAGUGGACUGCACCAGAAGUGGUUAGCUUAACCUUCGGGAGAGCGAUCACUAYUNC